CUUGCUUCUCUUGAGAGCGGCGGACGGGUGAGUAAUGCCUAGGAAUCUGCCUGGUAGUGGGGGAUAACGUCCGGAAACGGACGCUAAUACCGCAUACGUCCUACGGGAGAAAGCAGGGGACCUUCGGGCCUUGCGCUAUCAGAUGAGCCUAGGUCGGAUUAGCUAGUUGGUGGGGUAAUGGCUCACCAAGGCGACGAUCCGUAACUGGUCUGAGAGGAUGAUCAGUCACACUGGAACUGAGACACGGUCCAGACUCCUACGGGAGGCAGCAGUGGGGAAUAUUGGACAAUGGGCGAAAGCCUGAUCCAGCCAUGCCGCGUGUGUGAAGAAGGUCUUCGGAUUGUAAAGCACUUUAAGUUGGGAGGAAGGGCAGUAAAUUAAUACUUUGCUGUUUUGACGUUACCGACAGAAUAAGCACCGGCUAACUCUGUGCCAGCAGCCGCGGUAAUACAGAGGGUGCAAGCGUUAAUCGGAAUUACUGGGCGUAAAGCGCGCGUAGGUGGUUCGUUAAGUUGGAUGUGAAAUCCCCGGGCUCAACCUGGGAACUGCAUUCAAAACUGACGAGCUAGAGUAUGGUAGAGGGUGGUGGAAUUUCCUGUGUAGCGGUGAAAUGCGUAGAUAUAGGAAGGAACACCAGUGGCGAAGGCGACCACCUGGACUGAUACUGACACUGAGUGCGAAAGCGUGGGGAGCAAACAGGAUUAGAUACCCUGGUAGUCCACGCCGUAACGAUGUCAACUA
This 741-nucleotide ribosomal RNA is filed under the name uncultured bacterium. RNAcentral's name for it is "bacterial SSU rRNA". It matches the Rfam family "Bacterial small subunit ribosomal RNA", at positions 79 to 818 of the family's 1533-position model. The record is from RNAcentral.